UUAUUAAAAUAAUAAUUUUUUUUCAAACCAUCUGUUAUAAUAUAUUUUAUAUUUUUGAUAAAAUUAAAAUAUCUGAUUUAUAAAUUAUGACAUCCAGUAAGAAAUUUAUAACAUAUUGUUUUCAUUCUUGAUCCACUCCUUUCUCAUUCCUCCUAUGCUCCUCUUCUUGCCAUAAAUUUUUUUCUUAUAAGCUAGGAACAAGAUUUUUUGAUUCGCCGAUGGGGCCCUGC
This 230-nucleotide long non-coding RNA is filed under the name Elaeis guineensis (African oil palm). RNAcentral describes it as "long non-coding RNA (EGUI_LNC021834)". The record is from RNAcentral. Lineage: Eukaryota; Viridiplantae; Streptophyta; Magnoliopsida; Arecales; Arecaceae.